Molecule: ribosomal RNA, 273 nt
Filed under: uncultured soil bacterium
Lineage: Bacteria
Description: partial 16S ribosomal RNA
Rfam family: Bacterial small subunit ribosomal RNA
Source: RNAcentral
AGAAUCAACGCUGGCGGCGUGCCUCAGACAUGCAAGUCGAACGCGAAAGUCCCCUUCGGGGACAAGUAGAGUGGCGCACGGGUGAGUAACACGUAGGUAAUCUACCUUUGGAUGGGGAAUAACAACCGGAAACGGUUGCUAAUACCGCAUAAUGCAGCGGCACCUAAUGGUGACAGUUGUUAAAGCGGGGGAUCGAAAGACCUCGCGUCUGAAGAGGAGCCUGCGGCGGAUUAGCUAGUUGGUAAGGUAACUGGCUUACCAAGGCUACGAUCC